Capsicum annuum is the source of this 777-nucleotide long non-coding RNA. RefSeq lists it as uncharacterized. Lineage: Eukaryota; Viridiplantae; Streptophyta; Magnoliopsida; Solanales; Solanaceae. The record is from RefSeq and is a predicted model, not a curated record. The transcript has 2 exons.
UGUCAAGAUACAUAAUUAGCUCCCGAUACAUCCAAUGAAGUUACAUUUUUUCCUCUAUAAAAAUACAUAAUUAGCUCCCGAUAUAUUUUUUUUUGAUUUUAAAUCUAUCGAGAUACAUAAUACAUACAAUGAAGAUGCAUUUUUUCCUUCGUAAAGAUACACAAUUAGUUCUCGAUACAUUUUUUUUCGAUUUUGGGCCUAUCGAGAUACAUAAUUAGCUUCCCAAUACAUCCAACGAAGACACAUAAUUAGUUGAAAUUUUUGUAGUUACUUUUGUUAUAGUGAAGAUUUGUAUUAAUAUGUUAAGUUAAGAUGUAUAUUUAUGUUAUUUUUUCAAUCUAAGGAUGUAUAUUUUGAUUUUUUUUCCCCAUUAGAUUCCCCCUAUUUGAUUUGAUAGGCCCAAGCAACUAUGAUAAAGCCCAAAAUUUGUUAAGGCCCAAAUUGUGUGUCUGCACCCACUCUUUGAAUCUAGGGUUUUCUAAAUUUUAUCUUUUAUCACUACAAUAAAUAAGCAGUGUGAAUAGUGAGGUAGACUCGAAGUUCUCAGUCGGAACAAUGGGUAUCUCAAGAGAUUCUAUGCACAAGAGACGUGCCACUGGUGGAAAGAAGAAAGCUUGGAGGAAGAAGCGAAAGUUAGUUUUUUUUUGUCUUUUGUUUCCUAAUUUAUCAUGUGCAUUUCUAUUAUUAUGAGUUAUUAUUAUUAUUUGUUUGGUUGAUGUUAUAAAGAUAAAUUUAUGCUGUCAAUCAAAUAUAGUACAAAUAUAUUACUUACUUUGU